UCCUUCUAUUUGCAUGGUUCUUGUCCUACACUGAACAGGAGAGCCCAGCAAGAUAAUGAUCAUCAUUUGUAUCAGUUAGGGUCUCAACCUGCUCUGAAAUGUUCUUCAUUAGGCUUGUAAGCUGUAUUUAUUUUCAUUACUCUGGUACUUGUGGAACUGUCUGCUGCUGCCUUUUUCUGGACAUUUCUCCCUGCAGGGCUCUUUCACUGUGUCAGAAAUGCAUCCUCUCAUUUCUUCUUGUGCCAAUCCUUUCAUUUUUACAAAACACACGGUUCUCUUCAUCACUUACACACACUGAUACCCUAGAACCAUGUCUGGCCUUGGGAGGAGGGGCAAGACCAUCUCUAAGAUCCCUUUGACCCUUGAGAUUCCCUCUUCCCAGUGUCUUCUCACCUGUUUUAGCACACUGACCUAGCCGUUAUUGUCUCUCAAUCGUACACACAGAUUGUUGAAGGUUUGGAUCUUUAAAUGGCUCUGUACUAUGGGGAUGAACACCAGCAUGCCAUGGUUGAGUUAAAGAGAAAACAUCUAAAUGAGAAAAUGCUGGUUUUUCCUUUCUUAGAGCAAUCAGACUACUGAUAAACAAAAGGGAAUGUCUUCCUGUUUCUGUAUGUGUGUGUGUAUGUGUGUGUGUGUGUGUAAUCUCUGAGGAGAGAGACAUCAACCAAACAUUCAUGGAAGCCAAGGGCCUAGCUGCCGAGGAGCUGUGACUUCACUGAGACAAAAGAAGAAGUUUGAGACCCAGACAAUUGCUGUGCCCAGGGCUGGAAAAUUGAGACCUCCCAGGACCUGGUUGGGAGCAGUUGCAUUAGCCUUUCUCAUCUCUCAGGAAGGUCUCUGUGUUUCUGAGACUCUCCACAGGCCCUGCUGAGAACAGCCUCGUCACAGAAAAGUGCUGAGGAGGAUGCAAAAGUCUCCAUCAAGCUGGACAAAGCUCUCCUUGAAGACAGGACCAUGUCUUAUUCAACUUUGUAAUCCCAGGACCUGGCACAAAAGCUGGCACCUAUUCAGUGCCUUGGUUCUUUGAGUGUGGCCCUGGACCAGAAGCAUCAACAUCAACCAGGAACUUACUAGAAAUGCACUUUCUUGGGUGCCCCACAAGACCUGCUGAAUCAGAAACUCUGGGGAUGUAGUUCAACACCUGUGCGCUGACAAGCCCUCCAGGUGAUCCGGAUACAUGCUCACGUUUGAGAACCGUGGCUUUACGGGAGAAAACAGUCAUGAUUGCUUACAACAGAAUACCAUAAAUUGCUUUUUGAAAAGCAGUGCAAUAUAUGGGCAUACUAAAAUUGAAGCAUGACAGAUAAAUAUGACAUCAGGAUGUCAUCCAAUGAAAAAUAGAUUUUUUAUUCUGUGUCCUGGACACGGCAUUGCUGAUUUUUAUUUAUCCACCUUUCUCCUGCCUGAGGGAAAACAAGUAUUUAAAAUGCAUUGCUAUUUGCAUUGAGCUUGUCUGCUCCCUGAAGCCUCAAGAUCAUUCCUCAAAGACACGGAGUGCUGAUUGGGACAUCCCGCAGGUUAAAGUGAGUUUCGGACUCGAUGGUUCUGCACAGCAAAGCUGGGCCGUGUCCCACUUCAACCUCACUUUAUGGGAUUUACGGCACAUUUUGAAGAUGAGUGAUUAGAAGAUAAAGACUGGAGAAGUUUGCUCCUUGGUGACUGAGGUAAGGAGGGAUGUAUGUGGAGCAUUUUGAAUUUAGUUUUGAUGGUCUUUUGAAGGAAACUGGGUUCCUUGGACCCAGCUUGUGAUCCAGAGACUUCAUGUGGAGAAGAUGGGGAAUUUCUGAUAGGCCAGGCAUACCUACCCUAUGGCAGUGGUAGAGCUGGAUUUUGGCUUCUCAAAGAGAGUUGAAAUUUUAAGAACUUGUCCUCAGGAAAUUAAUCAUUGUGGCACACAAAUUUAAGCAUGAGGAUACUCAC
Molecule: long non-coding RNA, 1920 nt
Organism: Equus caballus (horse)
Lineage: Eukaryota; Metazoa; Chordata; Mammalia; Perissodactyla; Equidae
Source: Ensembl